Molecule: transfer RNA, 66 nt
Filed under: Coraebus cavifrons
Lineage: Eukaryota; Metazoa; Arthropoda; Insecta; Coleoptera; Buprestidae
Description: tRNA-Ser
Source: RNAcentral
AGUUAAUGAGCUUGAUAUAAGCUUAUAUUUUGAAAAUAUAAGAAAGAUUUAAAUUUCUAUUAGCUU